This 267-nucleotide ribosomal RNA is filed under the name Blastocystis hominis. RNAcentral's name for it is "partial 18S ribosomal RNA". It matches the Rfam family "Eukaryotic small subunit ribosomal RNA", at positions 62 to 348 of the family's 1831-position model. Lineage: Eukaryota; Bigyra; Opalinata; Blastocystidae. The record is from RNAcentral.
AGUGUAAUAUUUAAGUUUGGACUGCGAAUGGCUCAUUAUAUCAGUUAUAGUUUAUUUGGUGAAGUGUACUACUUGGAUAACCGUAGUAAUUCUAGGGCUAAUACAUGAGAAAGUCCUCUGGUGAGGUGUGUUUAUUAGAAUGAAAACCAUAUGCUUCGGCAUGAUAGUGAGUAAUAGUAACCUAUCGUAUCGCAUGCUUAAUGUAGCGAUGAGUCUUUCAAGUUUCUGCCCUAUCAGCUUUCGAUGGUAGUAUAUGGGCCUACCAUG